AUUGAACGCUGGCGGCAGGCCUAACACAUGCAAGUCGAGCGGUAGCACAGAGAGCUUGCUCUCGGGUGACGAGCGGCGGACGGGUGAGUAACGUCUGGGAAACUGCCUGAUGGAGGGGGAUAACUACUGGAAACGGUAGCUAAUACCGCAUAACGUCGCAAGACCAAAGAGGGGGACCUUCGGGCCUCUUGCCAUCAGAUGUGCCCAGAUGGGAUUAGCUAGUAGGUGGGGUAACGGCUCACCUAGGCGACGAUCCCUAGCUGGUCUGAGAGGAUGACCAGCCACACUGGAACUGAGACACGGUCCAGACUCCUACGGGAGGCAGCAGUGGGGAAUAUUGCACAAUGGGCGCAAGCCUGAUGCAGCCAUGCCGCGUGUAUGAAGAAGGCCUUCGGGUUGUAAAGUACUUUCAGCGGGGAGGAAGGUGUUGAGGUU
This 435-nucleotide ribosomal RNA is filed under the name uncultured Enterobacteriaceae bacterium. RNAcentral's name for it is "bacterial SSU rRNA". It matches the Rfam family "Bacterial small subunit ribosomal RNA", at positions 30 to 461 of the family's 1533-position model. The record is from RNAcentral. Lineage: Bacteria; Pseudomonadati; Pseudomonadota; Gammaproteobacteria; Enterobacterales; Enterobacteriaceae.